GAUGAACGCUGGCGGCGUGCCUAAUACAUGCAAGUCGAGCGAACAGACGAGGAGCUUGCUGCUCUGACGUUAGCGGCGGACGGGUGAGUAACACGUGGAUAACCUACCUAUAAGACUGGGAUAACUUCGGGAAACCGGAGCUAAUACCGGAUAAUAUCUUGAACCGCAUGGUUCAAUAGUGAAAGACGGUUUUGCUGUCACUUAUAGAUGGAUCCGCGCCGCAUUAGCUAGUUGGUAAGGUAACGGCUUACCAAGGCAACGAUGCGUAGCCGACCUGAGAGGGUGAUCGGCCACACUGGAACUGAGACACGGUCCAGACUCCUACGGGAGGCAGCAGUAGGGAAUCGUCCGCAAUGGGCGAAAGCCUGACGGAGCAACGCCGCGUGAGUGAUGAAGGUCUUCGGAUCGUAAAACUCUGUUAUUAGGGAAGAACAAAUGUGUAAGUAACUGUGCACGUCUUGACGGUACCUAAUCAGAAAGCCACGGCUAACUACGUG
Molecule: ribosomal RNA, 497 nt
Filed under: uncultured bacterium
Lineage: Bacteria
Description: partial 16S ribosomal RNA
Rfam family: Bacterial small subunit ribosomal RNA
Source: RNAcentral